Molecule: long non-coding RNA, 1016 nt
Organism: Bolinopsis microptera
Lineage: Eukaryota; Metazoa; Ctenophora; Tentaculata; Lobata; Bolinopsidae
Exons: 3
Source: RefSeq, a predicted model, not a curated record
GAUAAGAUUUUCAACAGAACCAAGAGCGGUACCCAGAUCAACGAUGUGGUUUGCAAGGGAAGCAGUGGUCAAAUAUCCUGUUCAAACUAAACAGAAUUCUCGUCAGAUCUGUUACUGAUGGACUGACCUGCCAUUGUGUGAUACUGAUAGUCGCCGAAGGAUCUCUCUGACAUGAAAACGGCUAUACUGACGUCUGACAAAGUUACUCAGAAUGUUCUUUCUUCUCUAAUCUCUGACUCUCAUUUUGCUGUGCCGGAGCCCGGAAUGUCUUGCCCUUAUUAUUUCUGGAAGAUAAUGUACUGCUGGGAAUAAUAUAUACUCUAUUUCUCCUGAAACUGUAAAACAUACAGUAGUUACUGCCAAAACGUUCUUCUACAAAUCCUCUACAAUAAUGCCGAACGCUUGAACUUGAAGAUUGAGUUAAUCUUCAAGAUGUUGCUCCGAUCAAAGAAUUUAAGAUGACAAUUCCAGUUCAUAAUGUUACACUGUGCACGGGAUUUAGAAAGAUAAACAUUAUAUAUUAUAAUCCGUUGUUUCAAUAUUUUGUUUUCUUUGUUAAUCACUAACUGAUAUAUGAUCUAACUAGGUUUUAUCUCUAACUUAAACUGUGAUCUGAGAGAAGCUUUAUCAGUGUGUAGUGUGCGUGCAGUACUGCGCCGUGACGUAAUAGGACAAAAAGUACCUGCCACCAAUGGUCACAGGUCGCAGGACCGUCGACGAGUCCAACUCGGCGCGCGUCCUGGUAGGUUGUAAACCUACAAGCUAAAUCGGAUGUAAAUUAACGUCCUUUCAAAUUCCCUGUUGCUGGUUCAGCAAUCCCGUCGGUAAAGUUGAAACUUGUCUUUCGUCCGAUCCCUCUGAUUUCUCAAUUCUAUAAUUUAUUUAUUCUAUAAAUAUUCAAGUGUUAGUUAUCUUAUAUUGUCAGUAAACUAGAUUUUACCGGUUUUUAAUCUUGAAAUGAAGUUUUGUUACUUGUAAUUUUCAGAUUUUUAUAGACUAACUUAAACUACUACGUC